CCUACGGGAGGCAGCAGUGAGGAAUAUUGGUCAAUGGGCUUACGCCUGAACCAGCCAAGUCGCGUGAGGGAAGACUGCCCUAUGGGUUGUAAACCUCUUUUGUCAGGGAGCAACGCCGGCUACGUGUAGCCGGACUGAGAGUACCUGAAGAAAAAGCAUCGGCUAACUCCGUGCCAGCAGCCGCGGUAAUACGGAGGAUGCGAGCGUUAUCCGGAUUUAUUGGGUUUAAAGGGUGCGUAGGCGGAAUAUCAAGUCAGCGGUAAAAAUUCGGGGCUCAACCCCGUCGUGCCGUUGAAACUGAUGGUCUUGAGUGGGCGAGAAGUAUGCGGAAUGCGUGGUGUAGCGGUGAAAUGCAUAGAUAUCACGCAGAACUCCGAUUGCGAAGGCAGCAUACCGGCGCCCAACUGACGCUGAAGCACGAAAGCGUGGGUAUCGAACAGGAUUAGAUACCCUUGUAGUC
This 460-nucleotide ribosomal RNA is filed under the name uncultured bacterium. Its description in RNAcentral is "partial 16S ribosomal RNA". It matches the Rfam family "Bacterial small subunit ribosomal RNA", at positions 338 to 795 of the family's 1533-position model. The record is from RNAcentral.